This 120-nucleotide ribosomal RNA is filed under the name Pteropus alecto (black flying fox). RNAcentral also lists the same sequence under 1 other name. The record is from RNAcentral. Lineage: Eukaryota; Metazoa; Chordata; Mammalia; Chiroptera; Pteropodidae.
AUCUAUGGCCAUGCCACCCUGAACAAGUCCGAUCCUGUCUGAUCUUGGAAGCUAAGCAGGGUGGGGCCUGGUUAGUACUUGGAUGGGAGACCACCUAGGAAGACCUAGGUGCUGUAGAUA